This 330-nucleotide long non-coding RNA is filed under the name Equus caballus (horse). RNAcentral describes it as "lncRNA (ENSECAG00000049608.1)". Lineage: Eukaryota; Metazoa; Chordata; Mammalia; Perissodactyla; Equidae. The record is from RNAcentral.
AUUUUCUCUUGAUCAUAGGCAAGUUGUCCUACCCUUUCCUAGAAGGGAAAAAUCACCUGGAGAGAAGAGAAGAGGAGGGGGGUGGGGAGGGGAAGGAAGAAAAUGACACCUGUGGCUUACAGUUGUGGGACUUGGAGACGAUCAGCUGAAAGGAAGGAAAGGAAUGAGGCUCAACAGACACCACCUAGUGGGCAAACAACUGGCUUACACUCAGGCAGCAACUGGCCAGCCCAGGUGGGACGCCUACCACAGCAUGGCUGCCAAGCGGUGCCGUGUCCACACCCAGGAUCCGAACCAGCGAACCCCAGGCCACCAAAGCGGAACAUGCAC